UACGUAGGGUGCAAGCGUUAAUCGGAAUUACUGGGCGUAAAGCGCACGUAGGCGGCUUUGUAAGUUAGAGGUGAAAUCCCGGGGCUCAACCCCGGAACUGCCUUUGAUACUGGGUAUCUCGAGUCCGGAAGAGGUGAGUGGAAUUCCGAGUGUAGAGGUGAAAUUCGUAGAUAUUCGGAGGAACACCAGUGGCGAAGGCGGCUCACUGGUCCGGUACUGACGCUGAGGUGCGAAAGCGUGGGAGCAA
Molecule: ribosomal RNA, 247 nt
Filed under: uncultured bacterium
Lineage: Bacteria
Description: partial 16S ribosomal RNA
Rfam family: Bacterial small subunit ribosomal RNA
Source: RNAcentral